Molecule: long non-coding RNA, 344 nt
Organism: Rosa rugosa (rugosa rose)
Lineage: Eukaryota; Viridiplantae; Streptophyta; Magnoliopsida; Rosales; Rosaceae
Exons: 3
Source: RefSeq, a predicted model, not a curated record
AUAUAUAUAUAUAUAUAUACAUAUGUUCUCAUCAAAAAAGAACACUGGGCGCCAAGAACAGAUGCCUGCCACUCUGAGUGGGAAGAAUAGAGUCAAGAGACGGUAAGGUCAAGCACAAGUUCGUGUUUUGCUGUUCCUGCUGUGGUUCUCUACUUUCUCAGAGAUGGGAAGGAAGAAUACUAAUGAAAUUGGGGGAAGUGGAUCACAAGUUAAAGCUGUAUGGAAUGAUUAUAAUGUAUCCAAAUUUUGUGAUCUGUGCAUCAAGUUGGUGGAUGCUGGACGUCGUCCUAAUACUCAUUUUGACAGAGAAGGAUGGGAGAGUUUAGUAGUAAACUUCAGUAAAG